ACUAUGCUUAGCCGUAAACUUUAAUACUUACAAUAAACAUUCGCCAGGGUACUACGAGCGUUAGCUUAAAACCCAAAGGACUUGGCGGUGCCCCAAACCCAC
Molecule: ribosomal RNA, 102 nt
Filed under: Pelodytes atlanticus
Lineage: Eukaryota; Metazoa; Chordata; Amphibia; Anura; Pelodytidae
Description: partial 12S ribosomal RNA
Source: RNAcentral